This is a long non-coding RNA of Musa acuminata AAA Group (dessert banana), 1215 nucleotides long. RefSeq lists it as uncharacterized. NCBI's taxonomy places the organism in Eukaryota, Viridiplantae, Streptophyta, Magnoliopsida, Zingiberales, Musaceae. The record is from RefSeq and is a predicted model, not a curated record. The transcript is spliced from 2 exons.
AUUACAAACCAUUCCUCGUGUAACAGAUGAGAGGAUGACAGAGCUAUUCCACAAGUCGAAUGCUUCCCCAUGAUUUAAUCGAGUCGAAACGUUUUGUAGAAUGGAAGACCGGUUGGAUCGAGUCGGUGUGUCGGUGUCGAUGAUCGAGGAUUAUUGGACAUGAAAGCUCUUAUUGGACCCGAAUCCGAAACGACUCGGUCGAAUGCGUCUGGGCUCGUACAAAUCGAGCAGAAGCACAAGGAAGCGACGAUGAAGCCGACACUCAACACCUCACGUUUCUAUUUAUCUCAUAAUUAAGUAAUAAAUCGGAAAAAAAAAACCGAAGGAAGAAAACUUAUGGUGGAGACGGCUCGACUCAGAAGAAUCUAGAUUCCUGACGGGCCCCACAACCAUCUUCUUGCACGGUGACCACGCGCGUCCUCUACGUUUAAAAAGCGACGGCUAUGAUGAAUACUGAUUUUAAACGUAGUGGGAUUUCUAUUUGCCAAAAGCGACGGGUUCCUUCCAACGGCGUCGAACCCAAGCAGAACAGGUCCUCCACACACGCGGCGCCGUCUCAUUGGCCCCGGUGACCGAGGUAUGCGUUGACGGCGCCCUCGGCUGGGCGCGCCGGAACCGAACGCACAGUUCGAUUCGAUUUAUUUCCCUGGUCACGGACGACGGCGCGGGGAUAUUCACUCGGGCAGGAGGCCGUAUAAAGCAGGAGGGAGAGAAGGGGAAGGACGACGCCACAAAAAGUUCUUCGUCGACGGAGCGGGAGAUCUCGAUUCCUGAUCUCGGCGUGGAGAUGAAGAAGGCUGGGGUCUUCGCCGCCUCCCUCGCGGCCGUCUCUUCCGCUGCUCUCUCCACCACCAACCCCUCCUCCUCGAUCUCCACCUCCACCUCCUCCUCCUCUAAAGAGGGAUUGGGAUCGUCGAGGAAGCAGGACGCUGCCGGAUCAGGAUCAAGGAGGGACUCGGAAGACAAGUUCGCGCCGAGAUUCGACGGGCUUAGGUUCAUCGAGACGCUGGUAACGGCGCAUCGGUGAUUCUCGAGUCUCUUGCCGAUGCUUCACCCUCUUAUCACCGAUCGAUUUCUGCCACGGCGGUGGUUCUCUUCCUGAUAUAAUUAUGAUUUAGUAUUGGUGGUCUGCAAGCUCUGUUACGCACGAGCCGUGUGUGAUUUUAACUUCUUGUAUAUUAAUUAAUUAAUUAAUUAUUCUUGUAUCUCGAUUAA